AUUCGUUGAAAAUCAUCCUCAGCUUUGGCCUGUGGCUGGGGAUGAGAUUCGGAGCCCAGAGGCCUCAGCUCACUGUCCCCUGCCCCAGUGUGGGAGGGUGAAACCCAGGCCCCUACAUUC
Molecule: small nucleolar RNA, 120 nt
Organism: Mastomys coucha (southern multimammate mouse)
Lineage: Eukaryota; Metazoa; Chordata; Mammalia; Rodentia; Muridae
Product: small nucleolar RNA ACA64
Exons: 1
Source: RefSeq, a predicted model, not a curated record